RNAcentral lists this ribosomal RNA (274 nucleotides) under uncultured bacterium. RNAcentral describes it as "partial 16S ribosomal RNA". It matches the Rfam family "Bacterial small subunit ribosomal RNA", at positions 523 to 796 of the family's 1533-position model. The record is from RNAcentral.
CUACGGAGGGUGCAAGCGUUAUCCGGAUUCAUUGGGUUUAAAGGGUGCGCAGGCGGAGUGAUAAGUCAGUGGUGAAAUCCUACAGCUUAACUGUAGAACUGCCAUUGAUACUGUCAUUCUUGAGUACACUUGAAGUGGGCGGAAUGUAUCAUGUAGCGGUGGAAUGCAUAGAUAUGAUACAGAACUCCGAUAGCGAAGGCAGCUCACUAAAUUGUAACUGACGCUCAGGCACGAAAGCGUGGGGAGCAAACAGGAUUAGAAACCCCAGUAGUCC